RNAcentral lists this transfer RNA (115 nucleotides) under Pseudozyma flocculosa. Its description in RNAcentral is "Anthracocystis flocculosa transfer RNA-Ser(CGA)". It matches the Rfam family "tRNA". Rfam says of the family: Transfer RNA (tRNA) molecules are approximately 80 nucleotides in length. Their secondary structure includes four short double-helical elements and three loops (D, anti-codon, and T loops). Further hydrogen bonds mediate the characteristic L-shaped molecular structure. tRNAs have two regions of fundamental functional importance: the anti-codon, which is responsible for specific mRNA codon recognition, and the 3' end, to which the tRNAs corresponding amino acid is attached (by aminoacyl-tRNA synthetases). tRNAs cope with the degeneracy of the genetic code in two manners: having more than one tRNA (with a specific anti-codon) for a particular amino acid; and 'wobble' base-pairing, i.e. permitting non-standard base-pairing at the 3rd anti-codon position. The record is from RNAcentral. Lineage: Eukaryota; Fungi; Basidiomycota; Ustilaginomycetes; Ustilaginales; Ustilaginaceae.
GGCAAUCUGUCCGAGUGGUCAAGGAGUACGUCUCGAACUAAAACGUGGUUUGACCCCCCUUGGGGGAGGAAACGUAUAGGCUCUGCCUGCACAGGUUCGAAUCCUGUGGUUGUCG